AAGGAGUUUAUCGUGUGCGCAAGUUUUUGGGUGUUAAAAACUUAAAAGCGAAAUGAAAGUAAAUGACUCUUUAGAGUCUGAUGUGCGAUCUUGUAAAAAAGUGUAGCAUGGCCCCAUUCUAACUGUUUACAGUAGGGUGGCGGAAGAGCGUACGCGGUGAGACCCGAAAGAUGGUGAACUAUUCCUGAGCAGGACGAAGCCAGAGGAAACUCUGGGGGAAGUCCGAAGCGGUUCUGACGUGCAAAUCGAUCGUCU
Molecule: ribosomal RNA, 255 nt
Filed under: Meloidogyne incognita (southern root-knot nematode)
Lineage: Eukaryota; Metazoa; Nematoda; Chromadorea; Rhabditida; Meloidogynidae
Description: partial 28S ribosomal RNA
Rfam family: Eukaryotic large subunit ribosomal RNA
Source: RNAcentral